CUCCUACGGGAGGCAGCAGUGGGGAAUAUUGCACAAUGGAGGAAACUCUGAUGCAGCUACGCUCAGCGUGAGUGUAGAAGUAAUUCGUUUUGUAAAUUUCUAUCUAGCAGGUGAAGAUAGUGACGGUACCUGACUAAGAAGCUCCGGCUAAAUACGUGCCAGCUGCCGUGGUAAUACGUAUGGAGCAAGUGUUAUCCUGUGUAUUUAUCUGUGGCUGUAAAUAGAGUGUAGGUGGCCAUGCAAGUCAGAAUUGAAAUUCCGGGGCUCUACCCCGGAUUUGCUUUUAAAUUGUAUGUGCUGGAGUACAAGAGGGGAUGGUUUAAUUUCUAGUGUAGUGGUUGUAAUGUGUUGUUAUUAGGUGGUACACCAGUGGCGAAGG
RNAcentral lists this ribosomal RNA (379 nucleotides) under uncultured bacterium. Its description in RNAcentral is "bacterial SSU rRNA". It matches the Rfam family "Bacterial small subunit ribosomal RNA", at positions 336 to 721 of the family's 1533-position model. The record is from RNAcentral.